Molecule: transfer RNA, 88 nt
Filed under: Methylomonas koyamae
Lineage: Bacteria; Pseudomonadati; Pseudomonadota; Gammaproteobacteria; Methylococcales; Methylococcaceae
Description: tRNA-Ser
Source: RNAcentral
CCGGUCCUUGGCAACGGCAGGCAGGCCGUUUCGAUCGCGGUACGCGAUUUCGCGAUCGAACCGCCGUUCCUGCUCGUCGGGAUCGGCC